ACUUUUUGACCUUUGUUGGUCCUUCCCGUAUUCUCCCUUAUUAGCGAUGUCGCUCAUUGGAUCUUUCUUCCUUUGUUUCUGAGUGACGAUCGUUUUGGUGGUCCGUGGAGGAUGGUGCGGCCUUCUUCUUCUUCAACUUUGGUUUUCUGGAUGGUGAUGGAGGCUGGUUCUGGAUGGUGAUGGAGGCGGGCUUCUCUAUGCUUCGUUCUGAGGUGUGUCAGCGGUGGAGAGAGGUUUUACAGUAGCUUUAGAAACUUGUGUUUGGUUGCCACCAAUAGCCUUCACUGGACUAGACUGGACUAAAAUUUAGAGCAAUACCUUGUUUGUUACGCAGCAGGACAACCUUUAGUGGGACUAGCCGGACGUCGCUAGACAGUCUUAGCGAGUCCCAUCGAAAAAGCAUCGGAUUGCUAAGACCUUCGCUGCUUCACUUCAUCUGCUUCUCUUCGUCCGCUUAUCUCCCUUGCUCUAUCUAUCUGCUUCAUCUGCUUCUCUCUCCCUUGCCCUAUCUAUCUACUUCUCUCUCUCCCUCCAUUCAUCAAGCAGGUCGAGAUCGGCGUCCCUCUCAAUUGCUUCUCGGAAGCCAGAGCCGUCGAGCACGUUCGAGUCUUGGCCCAAGAGAUCGACGACCGCCAGGAGGGGCGUCCUGGCUUGACGGAGGUUGCUCAAUACAUUACAGGGCAAUUGGAAAUGAUAAAGUUGAUCUUCCAUUGAUUCAUUACUUGGUGUAUUCUGUAUUUUGAUUGCAUGUGUUUGUUUUUGCUUUGGGUUUUGUCCGUUCGGUUUAUUGUGUUGUUUUUGCUUCAAAUAUUGAUGGAUUUCUGACCGAUAUUGUUAUAUGUGGGUCUUUUUACACCCGGUCUUGGUUGUAUGCUUGUGAUAAUAUGCAUUUGUGUGCUGCUUUAUGGAUUUUCUGGUUUUUUGUUAUGGUGAAACUCGAAUCACAUGAAUGUAGCUGUUGUUAUUGUUUAAAUUGAUGGUCUGGUGCGGAAAAUCCUUCGAGAUUGUUAAUUCAUGACUGUAAUAUUGGCCAUUGUCGGUGUCAGUGAAUUGGGAAUGCCAUUUAUCAAUUAUACACAUCAGAAUACAACAGUUGACUUCAGCGGGGAGGUGGUUAGUCUUACUUUGCAUGUUUGUGAAUUCUAUGACAUAAUUCCCUUUAGUUCUUCAUGAAUGCUAGCCAAUGACAGAAACUUGUUACUGGGAAUUUGUUGUUCCUAUUCUCGUGGCCACUCAAGAAUGAUUUCUUAUAUGGUGGCUUAUGUAAAACAUGUGUUAGCUUUAGUGGGAGAAUGUAAGCUUAAUUAGAGCUUAUCGCUUGUUUUACACGUGCUUAAGGGAUUGAAGUCAUAAGAGUUUGGGAUGAACUAUACUUGUAAAGCUAUCAGGGAAUGUAUUUGGAUUGAUACACAGCUAUAAGUAGUCUCGGUUUUCAAUAAGUUAACUAUUCUGAUAUGAUAACUUUGGUUUGCGGUGAUAAGGAUAUUUGUUUAUAUGAUUGUAUUAGGAUUACAUGAUGGGAAGUAACCUAAUCAAAUACCACCACUGAGGAUAUAUAAUAGGGGUCCUGCAUUCACACUAAUUACGCAAAAGAACAAGCCCCAUUAUUUGUUAAUUGCAUACAGUAGUGUCGAGGGUAGAAGAGCUCUAUUUUCUUAAGCUGCAAUGGUUUCGCAAGGUUAGUGGGUAAUUGUAUUUGUGUUCAUGUUUGUUUCCGCAAUAAUAAUCUUACACUUGAUGCAUUAGUUUAACUUUAGGUUCAUAAAUGCCAAUGCAUUGUUCUUGUGAGCCCAGAAGUUUCAGAUGUCAGCAGCAAGCUUGGUUCUUUUUUUCAUGGGUUUACAUAUUCUGGACACUCCGUAGACUGCGCUGUUGCAAUUCAAGCACUCAAGACGUAGACAAGUGGUUGAAGGGCACUGAAGAAUAUGUGAAGGAACUCAAGUUUAAGCACUAAGUAGUUGCAAUUUGUAAAUGUAUUGGUGGCUGACAAUGAUGAAAAAAUAUGUAGACUUUCAUGUAAAGCAAAUGAAUGGUAUUCUGAAUGAAGCAUCUUCUCUCUUGAAAAAAGUUUUUGACAAGAAAGUGGAAGUUUUCAUAAUUAAAAAAGUUUAGUCUGGGCCAGUCCGGUACUGCACCAAACGUUUCACAA
Molecule: non-coding RNA, 2149 nt
Organism: Malus domestica (apple)
Lineage: Eukaryota; Viridiplantae; Streptophyta; Magnoliopsida; Rosales; Rosaceae
Source: RefSeq, a predicted model, not a curated record